CAGUAGCCACGGUAAUACGUAGGGUGCGAGCGUUAAUCGGAAUUACUGGGCGUAAAGCGUGCGCAGGCGGUUUUGUAAGACAGGCGUGAAAUCCCCGGGCUCAACCUGGGAAUGGCGCUUGUGACUGCAAAGCUAGAGUGCGGCAGAGGGGGAUGGAAUUCCGCGUGUAGCAGUGAAAUGCGUAGAUAUGCGGAGGAACACCGAUGGCGAAGGCAAUCCCCUGGGCCUGCACUGACGCUCAUGCACGAAAGCGUAGGGAGCAAACAGGAUUAGAUACCCGGGUAGUCCCUGUCUCUUAUAC
This 301-nucleotide ribosomal RNA is filed under the name uncultured bacterium. Its description in RNAcentral is "partial 16S ribosomal RNA". It matches the Rfam family "Bacterial small subunit ribosomal RNA", at positions 509 to 807 of the family's 1533-position model. The record is from RNAcentral.